RNAcentral lists this ribosomal RNA (253 nucleotides) under uncultured bacterium. RNAcentral describes it as "partial 16S ribosomal RNA". It matches the Rfam family "Bacterial small subunit ribosomal RNA", at positions 524 to 776 of the family's 1533-position model. The record is from RNAcentral.
UACAGAGGUCUCAAGCGUUGUUCGGAUUCAUUGGGCGUAAAGGGUGCGUAGGCGGCGAGGUAAGUCGGAUGUGAAAUCCCGGGGCUUAACCCCGGAACUGCAUUCGAUACUGCCUUGCUCGAGUACUGGAGAGGAGACUGGAAUUUACGGUGUAGCGGUGAAAUGCGUAGAUAUCGUAAGGAAGACCAGUGGCGAAGGCGGGUCUCUGGACAGUUCCUGACGCUGAAGCACGAAGGCCAGGGGAGCAAACGGG